GGAAAUGGAAUAGGAGUGGGAAGGUGGCAGGGGCGAAUGGGGUCAAGAUACGGUAUGAUUUGCGUAAACAGUACGAAUCUUAACGUUUUCGGGGAAAGGGAUAGCAUCGGAGAUUUUUACAGCAGAGGGAGGAGAAAAAGAGAGAAGGAAAAUAAAGGUCGAUGGUGGUAGAGAAGAGGGGCAGCUUGUGCUGGCUUUUGGGUGGUCUCGUUUGACCCAACCCAUCCA
This 228-nucleotide long non-coding RNA is filed under the name Elaeis guineensis (African oil palm). RNAcentral describes it as "long non-coding RNA (EGUI_LNC019613)". The record is from RNAcentral. Lineage: Eukaryota; Viridiplantae; Streptophyta; Magnoliopsida; Arecales; Arecaceae.